UAGGUAUCAUCAAUUCGCGAAAAUUCGACAGUUGUCCGGAUCUGUGAAUUUCCGGCCAGACAGACCAGCUACCGGAAAAGUCUCCGAAUUGGAUCGAGGUUUUGGCUACCCCACCAUUGUCAUGCAUCCCGAGCGCGUUCCCGAAGUCGGAAUCGGCAAAGGUGAGCCAGGACAGCCUUCUUCCUCCGCCCAGCCGCCUCAGUGACCAUCGUCAAGUCUGUGAGUAGAAUAUUAAUUUUAAUUGUAAUUUCGAUAUUAUUAUAUGUUCAAGCAUGCCCAUGCAUCACUUAUAUGCAUAUAUUUAUGUAGUUAAACUCUAGGCACGAUUUAUGUUGCAUUCAUAACUGUUGAUGUGCCAUGGAUGUUGUUGUGGUAAUUUGGAGCAGUGUGCGUGCGUUGGCGUGCGUGUGAUGUGGUGUGGACUAUGGAUAGGACGGGGUAGUCACGGCUUGAGUAAUUCGCUGGGACCCUCGAUUUGGUUAUUAAGUGGAAGU
Long non-coding RNA from Hevea brasiliensis (rubber tree), 494 nucleotides. RefSeq lists it as uncharacterized. The transcript has 2 exons. NCBI's taxonomy places the organism in Eukaryota, Viridiplantae, Streptophyta, Magnoliopsida, Malpighiales, Euphorbiaceae. The record is from RefSeq and is a predicted model, not a curated record.